AUUGAACGCUGGCGGCAUGCCUUACACAUGCAAGUCGAACGGCAGCACGGGAGCAAUCCUGGUGGCGAGUGGCGAACGGGUGAGUAAUAUAUCGGAACGUGCCCGGUCGUGGGGAUAACGUAGCGAAAGCUACGCUAAUACCGCAUACGAUCUACGGAUGAAAGCGGGGGAUCGCAAGACCUCGCGCGAUUGGAGCGGCCGAUAUCAGAUUAGGUAGUUGGUGAGGUAAAGGCUCACCAAGCCGACGAUCUGUAGCUGGUCUGAGAGGACGACCAGCCACACUGGGACUGAGACACGGCCCAGACUCCUACGGGAGGCAGUAGUAGGGAAUUUUGGACAAUGGGCGCAAGCCUGAUCCAGCAAAUGCCGCGUGCAGGAAGAAGGCCCUCGGGUUGUAAACUGCUUUUGUACGGACGAAAAGGUUUC
RNAcentral lists this ribosomal RNA (426 nucleotides) under uncultured bacterium. RNAcentral describes it as "bacterial SSU rRNA". It matches the Rfam family "Bacterial small subunit ribosomal RNA", at positions 30 to 457 of the family's 1533-position model. The record is from RNAcentral.